Molecule: non-coding RNA, 29 nt
Filed under: Mus musculus (house mouse)
Lineage: Eukaryota; Metazoa; Chordata; Mammalia; Rodentia; Muridae
Source: RNAcentral
UGGUAGUGAAUGCUGUACAGAGGAAGACU